Molecule: non-coding RNA, 536 nt
Organism: Arachis ipaensis
Lineage: Eukaryota; Viridiplantae; Streptophyta; Magnoliopsida; Fabales; Fabaceae
Source: RefSeq, a predicted model, not a curated record
GCAACAACACCAACAAACAGAUUUGGGGAGGAAGAGAGCUCUCUAACCCUCAUCAAACCUUCCAACCACCAUAACUUCCCCGUUUGAGUUCCGAUCGCCGCACCGUUCGCGGCUACGCGUCUAGCGCGUCGAGCUCUACACUUCUGUCGGAUCAAUUUCACCGGUUCGAUUUAGCUUGCGGAGCUUAUUGGGUUUGAGUUGCUACGCGUGUGGGUGCGGUGUGAAUUAAGUUUAUAUACAUGCAUUGGAAUUGAAAAGUAAGCAUUUGGAGGCUUGGUGGUGAUUGGAGCUAAGAUUUUGAUUGGUUUCUCAAAGCUUGAGGGGCCGUGUUGUGACUUGUAAGGCUACCUUGGUCCAAACGCGGUGAUCGGCCAAUGCAUUGUUUAGGUUUCGCGCGUUUAACAUAUAAGGUUUUGUGAAAACUUAGGCUAGGGAACCAUAGGUUAAGUUGAAAUGGUUAAAUACAUUAAAUGAUUAGUUUUGUGAUGAUGUUGAAUAAAUUGAUGAUUGAGUUUGUGUUGGAAUUUAUGAGUAUG